RNAcentral lists this long non-coding RNA (352 nucleotides) under Phasianus colchicus (ring-necked pheasant). Its description in RNAcentral is "lncRNA (ENSPCLG00000000967.1)". Lineage: Eukaryota; Metazoa; Chordata; Aves; Galliformes; Phasianidae. The record is from RNAcentral.
AAGCAUGUGCUUAAAUGACUUGCUGAAUGGGGAGCUUCUUUGCCAGCUAUUUUAAUGAUCUGAAAGAAGAAGAUGUUUGUGUAUUUAUUGAGGUUGGAGAAUGUGGAAAGAAGGUCCUUCUCAUAAGGCAGGAGGAGCCAUGAGAUUGGAGGAGGAGCCAGGACAGAUGUACCCAGAUGGCGUUCAAAAUAUCAUGGUCUGAAAACCCUAAAGCCACCAGAACAUUCAGCAAUGAAGUCACAUCACCUGACUCAUGUUUGGGUGACAGCGUUGGGCCCGCACCAUGGUAUAUGGAGCACUCAUGCCCAUCCCAGCCUCAGAAACCUCCAGUGCCAGAUUUUUUACAAAACCC